UACGAAGGGGGCUAGCGUUGCUCGGAAUCACUGGGCGUAAAGGGUGCGUAGGCGGGUCUUUAAGUCAGGGGUGAAAUCCUGGAGCUCAACUCCAGAACUGCCUUUGAUACUGAGGAUCUUGAGUACGGGAGAGGUGAGUGGAACUGCGAGUGUAGAGGUGAAAUUCGUAGAUAUUCGCAAGAACCCCAGUGGCGAAGGCGGCUCACUGGCCCGUAACUGACGCUGAGGCACGAAAGCGUGGGGAGCAAACAGG
Molecule: ribosomal RNA, 253 nt
Filed under: uncultured bacterium
Lineage: Bacteria
Description: partial 16S ribosomal RNA
Rfam family: Bacterial small subunit ribosomal RNA
Source: RNAcentral